UGGGGAGCUCUCCCAUAUGGUCGACCUGCAGGCGGCCGCGAAUUCACUAGUGAUUCGUAUUACCGCGGCUGCUGGCACGGAGUUAGCCGGGGCUUUCUUGGUCAGGUACCGUCAUUAUCUUCCCUGCUGAAAAGGGCUUUACAACCCUAAGGCCUUCAUCACCCACUCGGUAUUGCUGGAUCAGGCUUUCGCCCAUUGUCCAAUAUUCCCCACUGCUGCCUCCCGUAGGAGUCUGGGCCGUGUCUCAGUCCCAGUGUGGCUGAUCAUUCUCUCAAACCAGCUACAGAUCAUUGGCUUGGUAGGCCAUUACCCUACCAACUACCUAAUCUGGCGCGGGCUCAUCCAUCAGCGAUAAAUCUUUCCUCCAAAGAGAAUAUACGGUAUUAGCAAUUAUUUCUAAAUGUUAUUCCGUACUGAUGGGCAGAUUCCCACGUGUUACUCACCCGUCUGCCACUAAUUUAUUUAAAGCAAGCUCUAAAUAAAUCCGUUCGACUUGCAUGUGUUAAGCAUACCGAAAGCGUUCGUUCUGAGCCAUGAUCAAACUCUAAUCGAAUUCCCGCGGCC
Molecule: ribosomal RNA, 564 nt
Filed under: uncultured Alphaproteobacteria bacterium
Lineage: Bacteria; Pseudomonadati; Pseudomonadota; Alphaproteobacteria
Description: partial 16S ribosomal RNA
Source: RNAcentral